GAUGAGUUGGCACCAAAAGGCAGUAAAAGGAAAUUGUUUUAGUUUGGAUGCUAAUUUAGUUAUUUGUGGUGGGGUAGAAAAAUUAGUCAGCUUGCUGUAAUGUGUUGCUAUAUUUGACAGUCUUUUUAGGCUGCUUUCCCUUAAUUGCGUAUCUUGUGGUUAUCGCUGGAAGGAUGAGGCUCCCAGGUUAACAGCAAUAGGAUGAGAGGUGACGGCCUCACAUUACACCAGGGGGGUCAGGUUGGGUGUUAGGGAUGAUUUCUCCUCUGGGGGAGCAGUGAUGUGUUGCUAUGGGCUGGAGCAGCAUCCCUGGGGGGUGUUCGAGGAACUGCAGAGAUGUGGCACUUGGUGGGAUGAUGGGUUGGAUUGGAUGGGCUGGGGUUGGACUGGAUGGUCCAGAAGGUCUUUCCGAACUUUAGUGAUUCUCUAUGGAAUUGCAGAGUCCCAACACUGACCUCUCUGACUUGCUUUCUUUCCAAGACAUCCCCACGUCGCUGCCCAUCCAGUGCACUGAGGACGCUUGGGCAGAGGGAGGGGAGCAGCCCCCAGCUGACAGCCCCCAGGUGCAUCCCAAGGCCCCACAGGGCUCUGCCCACCCUCUGACCCCACCAAAUGAUGCCCACACGUUGCCUGGUGCUGAUGGGUGGUACCCAGAGUGCAGUGACCUCAGGGCUGGGAAAGCUGCCCUCCCAGGGGCUUUUAUCAGCAGCCAGGAGGGGAGGAAGGAGAAGAUGCUGGUAGACACAUGGCUGGAGGACUGUAGGAUGGCUCAUACCACCAACAGCCCUGAGGAAGAAGUGAAAGCUUGCUGCAGCCCACAGGAAUUUGUGGCACCGUGCAGUGAGGCCACACACUCCUUCCUGACUAUCCUGGACCUCUAUGAAGCCCCAGAAACACUUGGGAGGGAGGAUGCUCCCAGUGACAGCGCUCUGCCUGCUGCAGAAAAGGUGCCGGUGGAAAUCCGAGGACCUCUGAAGACCUCCUGGACACCGGGGUGGAUGCUGGAGGACGCCGUGCUCGGACCAGGCACAGCCGCGGCUGCUCAGAUAUGUGACAUUUGCCAGGAGACUUUCCCUGCGGACACCACAGCUCAGGGUGACUAUUUAAAGCACGUCUUAACCCAUAUGAAAUAGGGCUGUAGGACUUUGUGCUCAGGAACCUACAUCUGUGCAACUGUGAGCGGCACAACGAGCUCUGGACCUUCAUAAGAUGCAUCUACAGCCCCAUUCUAUACCACUGGGGCUCCUUGACCUGAGCAUAACCAAGACCUUAACUUGAUGGGGAUCAAAACAGGGGCUCUCACAUCAUGGUGCAGCCUCCCCACUGGCAUCUCCAACAGCUCCAAGCUGCCUCCUGUGGCUCCCUGAUUCAAUUAAGCAUCAUUGGACGGUGUGUUGUGCUCUUCUAUAGGACCUGGAGGAAAAUAUCAGCCUGCAGCUUGCAGGGUUACUAGGAGCAUCAGCUCUGCAUCAAGAAGGGCCAUAAAUUCAUUGGGCAUAAAAUUGUUGCAGCCAUCCAGAAUUUGCCAGAAUGGAGAAAAACCGACCAGGUUCCUCCUGCUCUGAGAGCAAGUCCAGUAAAUUUCAUUUAAAGACUGUGAGCACAGAUGGCUUUUCUCAAGAGUCAAAGCAGUUGUGGCAGAGGGCUGAAAUCUAUGAGAUGCACUUUGUGAUGAGCUGUGGGUGUGUGUGAGUGGCACAGUUCACAUUAAUGGGAAUAGAUUGCAGAGCCCAAGGAGGGACAGCUGCAUGCACUGGUGCAGGUCAGGGGCUGAGCUGUUAGAAGGGAGAAGGACCUGGGGGUCCUGGUGGCCAAGAUGGCCAAUAGUGGCCAACGUGGUUGUCCAAUGGUUGACCAUGAGCCUACAAUGUGCCCUGGUGGCUGAGAAGGACAGUGGUGUUCUGAUUGACCAUCUAUUGACCAACUAUUGCCUAUGGGCCAGCAGUGUGCCCUGAUGGUGGACAAGGCCAGUGGGUGACCAGCAGUGGGCAAAUGGUUGACCAACAGUUGAUCAAAUCUGGACCUCAAGCCAACAGUGUGCAUUGGAGGCCAAUGGUUCCCUAUGGGCACUGCAGUGUUGCUCCUCUGCUCUGCGCUGGGGAGGAUUUGGGGCUCUGUGUUAAAUCACUCUGGGCUCCUUUAUGGUCAGGCAGACCUCGAGUUGUGCCGUGGUUCUUUGCCUGUGCUCCUUUCCUGGUGACUCAGGCUGGGGCUGAGCUGUGCAGGUUCUACCCCCAUCUAACUUCACUGCAUGAACUUUCUCAACACGCUUCACUGUAUUUUUAGACGUUACGGUGCAAUUAGUCACCCCCCCCUCCCAGCCAGAUGGUCCACGGUGACACAGGAGCUUCUUUUUUUAAUCCCACACUUUCCAUUGGCAUGAGCUUCCCAAAUAACCUUAAGUAUAGGGUGUUUGUUUUAGCUGCAGGGUGGGCGGUGUGAUUGUUUUCCCCAGGUCACCUCACCGGGGCUGAAGUUGGGUCAUUUCUGGAAACAAAUGGCAGAUUGGUGGCAGUUUCCAGUAAGGAGAAAUUGAGGCUGGAUUGGAAAAUCAAGCAGAAUUACGUCUGCUUGCUUUCUUGCUGUUGGGCGCCUGCAUUGGGCUGGGGGUCAGCACGUCCUCCUGUGGCUCUUGGUUUCAAAGCAGGGCUGGGAGAAGGAGGUGUCACCUAUUCCCAAUGGAAACCAAGCUUUGAAACUGCAGCUGGAUAACAGAUUGGGGUGGGAAAUGUUCAGUUGUUGGGUUUUCUAAUGAAGGAUGCUGGGCUGUUGGGGGGGAAUUGGGACAUGGGCAUCCUGACCAUCUAUAAUCAAUCAUUCACAUGCUCUAGACAGGACCCAAAAGCAAUCAGGAUCCCACUGGGCACAGGAGGGGGAAUGCAAUGCCUCUAAUGGGGAAUGUGGUGAAAUAGUUACAUUUCCUCCAUCAAUAAAAACAUAUUCCUUGAAGGAAAGGUGCUGUGC
This 2964-nucleotide long non-coding RNA is filed under the name Coturnix japonica (Japanese quail). Its description in RNAcentral is "lncRNA (ENSCJPG00005004442.1)". Lineage: Eukaryota; Metazoa; Chordata; Aves; Galliformes; Phasianidae. The record is from RNAcentral.